CCCCAGGUCAGUCGGGAAUACCCGCUGAAUUUAAGCAUAUAAAUAAGCGGAGGAAGAGAAACUUACAAGGAUUCCCCUAGUAACGGCGAGCGAACCGGGAAUAGCCCAGCUUGAGAAUCGGGUGGGUUGAACCCUGUCCGAAUUGUAGUCUGGAGAGGCAUCCUCAGAGACGGACCGGGCCCAAGUUCCCUGGAAAGGGUCGCCUGGGAGGGUGAGAGCCCCGUCUGGCCUGGACCCUGUCUCACCACGAGGUGCUGUCAACGAGUCGGGUUGUUUGGGAAUGCAGCCCAAAUUGGGCGGUAAACUUCGUCCAAGGCUAAAUAUAGGUGAGAGACCGAUAGUGAACAAGUACCGCGAGGGAAAGAUGAAAAGGACUUUGAAAAGAGAGUCAAAGAGUGCUUGAAAUUGCCGGGAGGGAAGCGGAUGGGGACCGGCGAUGUGCCCCGGUCGUAUGCGGAACGGCUUAUGCUGGUCCGCCGCUCGGCUCGUGGUGCGGACUGUUGUCGGUUGGACUAACGGUCAAAGCACAGGGGGACAUAGUNNGUGCCCCUGGCAGCCACCGCUGGUGCAACUGGUUAUUGCGCGCUGCAAGGCGUGUCCUUUUGGACACUGCGCUGCAACAGCCUGCGGGCUCCCCAUCCGACCCGUCUUGAAACACGGACCAAGGAGUCUGACAUGCAUGCGAGUAGACGGGUUCUGAAACCUGGGAUGCACAAGGAAGCUGAUGAGUGGGAGUUCCUAACGGGACGCACCGCUGGCCGACCCUGAUCUUCUGUGAAGGGUUUGAGUUGGAGCAUGCCUGUCGGGACCCGAAAGAUGGUGAAACGUAUGCCUGAGCGGGGUGAAGCCAGAAGAAACUCUGGUGGAGGCUCGAAGCGAUACUGACGUGCAAAUCGUUCGUCUGACUUGGGUAUAGGGGCGAAAGACUAAUCGAACCAUCUAGUAGCUGGUUCCCUCCGAAGUUUCCCUCAGGAUAGC
Molecule: ribosomal RNA, 978 nt
Filed under: Dasypogon bromeliifolius
Lineage: Eukaryota; Viridiplantae; Streptophyta; Magnoliopsida; Arecales; Dasypogonaceae
Description: eukaryotic LSU rRNA
Rfam family: Eukaryotic large subunit ribosomal RNA
Source: RNAcentral